UACGUAGGGACCAAGCGUUGUUCGGAUUUACUGGGCGUAAAGGGCGCGUAGGCGGCCAUUCAAGUCGGAGGUGAAAGCCCAGGGCUCAACCCUGGAAUUGCCUUCGAUACUGUCUGGCUAGAGACCGGAAGAGGUAAGUGGAACUGCGAGUGUAGAGGUGAAAUUCGUAGAUAUUCGCAAGAACACCAGUGGCGAAGGCGGCUUACUAGUCCGGUUCUGACGCUGAGGCGCGAAAGCGUGGGGAGCAAACAGG
Molecule: ribosomal RNA, 253 nt
Filed under: uncultured bacterium
Lineage: Bacteria
Description: partial 16S ribosomal RNA
Rfam family: Bacterial small subunit ribosomal RNA
Source: RNAcentral